AGCAGGGUAAUUCAGUCUGGUAGAAGCCGGGUCUCAUAAGCCCGAAGUCGUUGGUUCGAAUCCAGCCCCUGCCU
Molecule: transfer RNA, 74 nt
Filed under: Dinophyceae sp. MGD
Lineage: Eukaryota; Dinophyceae
Description: tRNA-Met
Rfam family: tRNA
About the family: Transfer RNA (tRNA) molecules are approximately 80 nucleotides in length.
Source: RNAcentral